UAAAAAAUUAAAUAAAUUAAACUAAAAUAGUAUAUUAAUUAUUGAAACUUAAGUAAUUUGGCGGUAUUUUAGUUCAUUUAGAGGAAUCUGUUUAAUAAUUGAUAGUCCACGAUUAAAUUUACUUAAUUUUUAAUUUUAUAUAUCGUUGUUAAAAAAAUAUUUAAUAAUAAUAAUAAUAUUUAAAAAUUAAAAUAAAAAUUAAUUCAGAUCAAGAUGUAGAUUAUAAUUAAGAAUAUAAUGGAUUACAAUAAUAAAAAAUUAAAUGAAUAUAAUUUUGUAAAAAAUUAUUGAAGGUGGAUUUAAAUGUAAUUUUAUUUAAUUUAAUAAAAUGAUUAAAAAUUAAAAUAUGUACAUAUUGCCCGUCACUUUCAUUUAAAAAUUGGAAUAAGUCGUAACAAAGUAGAGGUACUGGAAAGUGUUUCUAGAAAGA
Molecule: ribosomal RNA, 430 nt
Filed under: Leptidea sinapis
Lineage: Eukaryota; Metazoa; Arthropoda; Insecta; Lepidoptera; Pieridae
Description: partial 12S ribosomal RNA
Source: RNAcentral